RNAcentral lists this ribosomal RNA (253 nucleotides) under uncultured bacterium. RNAcentral's name for it is "partial 16S ribosomal RNA". It matches the Rfam family "Bacterial small subunit ribosomal RNA", at positions 524 to 776 of the family's 1533-position model. The record is from RNAcentral.
UACGUAUGGGGCAAGCGUUAUCCGGAUUCAUUGGGCGUAAAGAGCGCGUAGGCGGAUUGUUAAGCGAGAUGUGAAAACUGGGGGCUCAACCCGCAGCCUGCAUCUCGAACUGGCAGUCUUGAGUCUGGUAGAGGAAAGUGGAAUUCCCAGUGUAGCGGUGAAAUGCGCAGAUAUUGGGAGGAACACCAGUGGCGAAGGCGGCUUUCUGGGCCACGACUGACGCUGAGGCGCGAAAGCUAGGGGAGCAAACAGG